This 120-nucleotide ribosomal RNA is filed under the name Helianthus annuus (common sunflower). Lineage: Eukaryota; Viridiplantae; Streptophyta; Magnoliopsida; Asterales; Asteraceae. The record is from RNAcentral.
GGUUGCGAUCAUACCAGCACUAAUGCACCGGAUCCCGUCAGAACUCCGCAGUUAAACGUGCUUGGGCGAGAGUAGUACUAGGAUGGGUGACCCCCUGGGAAGUCCUCGUGUUGCAACCCC